AGAGCGAACGCUGGCGGCAGGCCUAACACAUGCAAGUCGAGCGCCCGUAGCAAUACGGGAGCGGCAGACGGGAUAGUAACACGUGGGAACGCGCCCUUCGGUUCGGAAUAACUCAGGGAAACUUGAGCUAAUACCGGAUACGCCCUUACGGGGAAAGAUUUAUUGCCGAAGGAACGGCCCGCGUCCGAUUAGCUAGUUGGUGAGGUAAUGGCUCACCAAGGCGACGAUCGGUAGCUGGUCUGAGAGGAUGACCAGCAUCACUGGGACUGAGACACGGCCCAGACUCCUACGGGAGGCAGCAGUGGGGAAUAUUGGACAAUGGGCGCAAGCCUGAUCCAGCCAUGCCGCGUGGAUGAUGAAGGCCUUAGGGUUGUAAAGUCCGUUUUAACGGGGAAGAUAAUGACGGUACCCGUAGAAUAAGCCCCGGACUAACUUCGUGCCAGCAGCCGC
Molecule: ribosomal RNA, 450 nt
Filed under: uncultured bacterium
Lineage: Bacteria
Description: SSU rRNA
Rfam family: Bacterial small subunit ribosomal RNA
Source: RNAcentral